RNAcentral lists this ribosomal RNA (449 nucleotides) under uncultured prokaryote. RNAcentral describes it as "bacterial SSU rRNA". It matches the Rfam family "Bacterial small subunit ribosomal RNA", at positions 355 to 796 of the family's 1533-position model. The record is from RNAcentral.
UCGGGAAUCUUGGGCAAUGGGCGCAAGCCUGACCCAGCAACGCCGCGUGAGGGAUGAAGGCCCUCGGGUCGUAAACCUCUGUCGAGAGGGAAGAAAGUCACGGGGUGAAUAUCCUCGUGAUCUGACGGUACCUCCAAAGGAAGCGCCGGCUAACUCCGUGCCAGCAGCCGCGGUAAUACGGAGGGCGCAAGCGUUGUUCGGAAUCAUUGGGCGUAAAGCGGGUGUAGGCUGCUUGACAAGUCGGGUGUGAAAUCCCAGGGCCCAACCCUGGAACUGCACUCGAAACUGUCUCGCUAGAGUCCCGGAGAGGAUGGCAGAAUUCCCGGUGUAGAGGUGAAAUUCGUAGAUAUCGGGAGGAAUACCAGUGGCGAAGGCGGCCAUCUGGACGGUGACUGACGCUGAGACCCGAAAGUGUGGGGAGCAAACAGGAUUAGAUACCCCCGUAGUCC